This 309-nucleotide unclassified non-coding RNA is filed under the name uncultured fungus. RNAcentral describes it as "partial contains small subunit ribosomal RNA, internal transcribed spacer 1, and 5.8S ribosomal RNA". The stretch from base 1 to 73 matches the Rfam family "Eukaryotic small subunit ribosomal RNA", at positions 1759 to 1831 of the family's 1831-position model. Lineage: Eukaryota; Fungi. The record is from RNAcentral.
CCAAACUUGGUCAUUUAGAGGAAGUAAAAGUCGUAACAAGGUCUCCGUUGGUGAACCAGCGGAGGGAUCAUUAGCGAAAUCGCGAGUUUUCGUUCGAAAACUCUUCGAAACCCUUUGUUUACAUCUCUACGUUUUGUCUCUUUCGGCAGGCGGCCCCGGGGAGGGGCCUUCAGGCCUUGCGGCGCCUGCCGGAGGACGCUUCAUGAACUCUUCACUAUAUACUGUCAUCUGAGCAAGAAGCUGAAAAUACAGCGGAUUAAAACUUUCAACAACGGAUCUCUUGGCUCUGGCAUCGAUGAAGAACGCAGC